This 253-nucleotide ribosomal RNA is filed under the name uncultured bacterium. RNAcentral describes it as "partial 16S ribosomal RNA". It matches the Rfam family "Bacterial small subunit ribosomal RNA", at positions 524 to 776 of the family's 1533-position model. The record is from RNAcentral.
GACGGCGGAUGCAAGCGUUAUCCGGAAUUAUUGGGCGUAAAGCGUCCGUAGGUGGCGACUUAAGUCUGUUGUUAAAGCGUGCAGCUUAACUGCAUAAGGGCAAUGGAAACUGAGGCGCUAGAGUGCGGUAGGGGUAGAGGGAAUUCCCAGUGUAGCGGUGAAAUGCGUAGAUAUUGGGAAGAACACCAGUGGCGAAGGCGCUCUACUGGGCCGUAACUGACACUGAUGGACGAAAGCUAGGGGAGCGAAUGGG